AUUGAACGCUGGCGGAAUGCUUUACACAUGCAAGUCGAACGGUAGAGGGGGCAACCCCUCGAGAGUGGCGAACGGGUGAGUAAUAUGUCGGAACGUGCCCAGUCGUGGGGGAUAACGUAGCGAAAGUUACGCUAAUACCGCAUACGGUCUAAGGAUGAAAGCGGGGGAUCGCAAGACCUCGCGCGAUUGGAGCGGCCGAUAUCAGAUUAGGUAGUUGGUGGGGUAAAGGCUCACCAAGCCAACGAUCUGUAGCUGGGCUGAGAGGACGACCAGCCACACUGGAACUGAGACACGGUCCAGACUCCUACGGGAGGCAGCAGUGGGGAAUUUUGGACAAUGGACGCAAGUCUGAUCCAGCCAUUCCGCGUGCAGGAUGAAGGCCCUCGGGUUGUAAACUGCUUUUGUACGGAACGAAAAGGUCUCUCUUAAUACGGGGGGCUCAUGACGGUACCGUAAGAAUAAGCACCGGCUAACUACGUGCCAGCCGCCGCCGUAA
Molecule: ribosomal RNA, 496 nt
Filed under: uncultured bacterium
Lineage: Bacteria
Description: partial 16S ribosomal RNA
Rfam family: Bacterial small subunit ribosomal RNA
Source: RNAcentral